CACAGCGCCACCUGGUGUCAUUACAGUGUACUAAUAUAAGCAGAGGAAUUUCCCAGAAACCAUUGCGCUGAAACGGUAUAUAAACCAAAGCGACGCGUUCAUUCGGUCUCAUUUGUCUGCGGCGCUCAUGGGGAAUGUAGGUAAUUCAUUGACUCGUUUAAUCGCAGUAGUUUAAUAUAAUGUUGGGUGUUUUUCUGUAAUGUAGAUGUUUGUUGUGUAACUGCCUUAAGAAGUUGUGUUUUUUUUUUUGUUAUUUUGCUUUAAAUUCUGGAAAAGGAGUCGCUAAUUCGAAGUGCGGUCCACGUGUUAUAGGCCUCGACUGAACGUUAAUAUGCUUAUUGUAACUAAAUUAUCUUUGCUAAUAUGCUUUAAAUAAGUUUUGAGUGAAAGGUUUUAAUAUUAAAUUGACUAAACCAAUUAACGUUUAAUUCAAUAUUGGUCCACGUGGUAUGUAUGUGUUGUAGCGAAUCAUUUUUUAAAUAUUUCUAUAUUUUUUAUUUCCAGGUGUAAUGCUUUGAGGCCUUAGAUAAAGGGUGACAACAGGUGUAUAUACCAUAAGUCUGGUUUUAAAUGCAUUUUGAAUACUUUGCUUGUGAUGAAUAAAAGAAGAAAUAAGAGCAGUGGACAGGAGUGGUUUCUGAGAACAUUUUUACACUGAGGCAUUGUGAAGUUUUUAAUUGAGGAUGUAAUUGACGUUUCAGCGUUAUAAUCCGCUUUAUUUAUUUUUUUGCUUGCAGGAAUCGAGUGGAUCUAGAGUAGUGUCCACGGUAUUUAUUUAUUUUUUUUUUCUCUCGGAGAUGGAAGAAAUUUAACAAGUCAAUUACUUGACUAACACUUAAUUUGUCCAUGUUUAGUUCAUAUGCCUAUAAUGGCCUCUGUUUACUUGUAUGAUGAUUUAAGUGAUGUUUGUAGGGACAUCUGAGUAUUUGAUGAGCCAACAUCUCUGACAAGUAAAACGGUUGUGUGCGCGUGCCUAGUCUUUGUAAACUUCAGUUUUAAAUAUUUCUAUAUUUUUAUUUCCAGGUCUAAUGCUUUGAGGCCUUUGAUAAAGGGUGACAACAGGAAUGUGAAUCUGGAACGCUGUGUGAAAGGAGCAUGUGCAGAUGAAUUGAACGGUGGUUUAAGAUGGUACAAGAGAUGUGAAGAUGCCUUCAGCUGAGCACGCACGACUUCUGCAGGGAUUCAGGCAUAUCUGCUUUCCCUCUAUUUCUGGCUGUGGAAAGAUCAGCAGCCGUCUGAUUGUUUUUCAGGGACAGCAUGAUGUUGGGAUCAGUGCUGAUGGCAGUCACUGUGGGUGUGUGUGCUUAUUGACAGGUGUGGUGGUGACUGCUCCUUUGUGCCAUGUGAAUAUGAAUGGGGCGUGUGUUUAA
This 1370-nucleotide long non-coding RNA is filed under the name Sinocyclocheilus anshuiensis. RNAcentral's name for it is "lncRNA (ENSSANG00000034324.1)". The stretch from base 588 to 662 matches the Rfam family "Small nucleolar RNA SNORD75". The record is from RNAcentral. Lineage: Eukaryota; Metazoa; Chordata; Actinopteri; Cypriniformes; Cyprinidae.